GACGAACGUUGGCGGCGUGCUUAACACAUGCAAGUCGAGCGGUAAGGCCCUUUCGGGGGUACACGAGCGGCGAACGGGUGAGUAACACGUGGGUGACCUGCCUCUAGCUCUGGGAUAAGCCCGGGAAACUGGGUCUAAUACUGGAUAUGACUCCAUGACGCAUGUUGUGGGGUGGAAAGCCUUGUGCGGCUAGAGAUGGGCCCGCGGCCUAUCAGCUUGUUGGUGGGGUGAUGGCCUACCAAGGCGACGACGGGUAGCCGGCCUGAGAGGGCGACCGGCCACACUGGGACUGAGACACGGCCCAGACUCCUACGGGAGGCAGCAGUGGGGAAUCUUGCGCAAUGGGCGAAAGCCUGACGCAGCGACGCCGCGUGAGGGAUGACGGCCUGGU
Molecule: ribosomal RNA, 391 nt
Filed under: uncultured bacterium
Lineage: Bacteria
Description: bacterial SSU rRNA
Rfam family: Bacterial small subunit ribosomal RNA
Source: RNAcentral